Molecule: ribosomal RNA, 253 nt
Filed under: uncultured bacterium
Lineage: Bacteria
Description: partial 16S ribosomal RNA
Rfam family: Bacterial small subunit ribosomal RNA
Source: RNAcentral
UACGGGGGGGGCAAGCGUUGUUCGGAAUUACUGGGCGUAAAGGGCUCGUAGGCGGCCAACUAAGUCAGACGUGAAAUCCCCAGGCUCAACCUGGGAACUGCGUCUGAUACUGGAUGGCUUGAAUCCGGGAGAGGGAUGCAGAAUUCCAGGUGUAGCGGUGAAAUGCGUAGAUAUCUGGAGGAAUACCGGUGGCGAAGGCGGCAUCCUGGACCGGCAUUGACGCUGAGGAGCGAAAGCGUGGGGAGCGAUCCGG